Molecule: small RNA, 100 nt
Filed under: Pongo abelii (Sumatran orangutan)
Lineage: Eukaryota; Metazoa; Chordata; Mammalia; Primates; Hominidae
Description: processed transcript
Source: RNAcentral
GCCAACCUGAGAAUGACAAGCACAGACAGCCCUUGUCCCUGGGCCCAUCGCAUGAGUCUGCUGCAGGAUGAGGAAGAAGAGUCCAGUAGGCAGGAAACCG